Molecule: transfer RNA, 69 nt
Filed under: Macrhybopsis hyostoma (shoal chub)
Lineage: Eukaryota; Metazoa; Chordata; Actinopteri; Cypriniformes; Leuciscidae
Also listed under: 1 other name
Description: tRNA-Phe
Rfam family: tRNA
About the family: Transfer RNA (tRNA) molecules are approximately 80 nucleotides in length. Their secondary structure includes four short double-helical elements and three loops (D, anti-codon, and T loops). Further hydrogen bonds mediate the characteristic L-shaped molecular structure. tRNAs have two regions of fundamental functional importance: the anti-codon, which is responsible for specific mRNA codon recognition, and the 3' end, to which the tRNAs corresponding amino acid is attached (by aminoacyl-tRNA synthetases). tRNAs cope with the degeneracy of the genetic code in two manners: having more than one tRNA (with a specific anti-codon) for a particular amino acid; and 'wobble' base-pairing, i.e. permitting non-standard base-pairing at the 3rd anti-codon position.
Source: RNAcentral
GCUAGUGUAGCUUAACAUAAAGCAUAACACUGAAGAUGUUAAGAUGGGCCCUAAGAAGCUCCACAUGCA